ACUGUAUGCGAAGAGGCACGGUGCAGCCAGGUGAGCCAACAGGCUCCAAGUUCAGUCUGCCAGCCAAGGUCAGGAACCUCCAGAAUCGUCCCAUAGGACACUCCGACGUCUGCCAUGCCCCAGCUGCUGGGAUAAGUACAGGGAACCAAGGGAAGCAGCAAUAAAAUAAAAGGAGGGAAGACAAGCAGGCCUGAGGAAGAGCAGAACAGGUGGAAAAGGAGCCAAACCCUGCCUGCUUCCCCACUGGAAGCAAUGAGGAUAACACACAGCACCCCCUGCUGACAGGAUCAAAGCUUUGCAGUCCUUCCCUUCCUCCAGAGGAGAAAAACAGAUAAUCAAGAUUGAAACAAAAAGUGCUGUCAGCUGUGGGAGCAGCCACAGGAGUGGGCUCCUCUUCUGGCUUUCACCUCGCUCUUCGCCCACCCUCCUCCUGGGCGGGAGCCCGGCCAGACCUGAACAGUGGAACGCUUCUGCUCAGUACAGCACCACACGGGCACACACACAUGUUCUGCCGGCAAUACUAGCUGGAGACUGAACAGGGGGAGCACACAGCAGGCAACCUGGGGCAGGGAAAGGCAGCGGGGGUGGUGCUAGACCUCACGACCCGGUGGAUCCUGGGAGAAUCCCACGUGCAGCUCUUGG
Long non-coding RNA from Ochotona princeps (American pika), 642 nucleotides. RefSeq lists it as uncharacterized. The record is from RefSeq and is a predicted model, not a curated record. The transcript has 3 exons. Lineage: Eukaryota; Metazoa; Chordata; Mammalia; Lagomorpha; Ochotonidae.